This 497-nucleotide ribosomal RNA is filed under the name uncultured bacterium. RNAcentral describes it as "partial 16S ribosomal RNA". It matches the Rfam family "Bacterial small subunit ribosomal RNA", at positions 28 to 507 of the family's 1533-position model. The record is from RNAcentral.
GACGAACGCUGGCGGCGUGCCUAAUACAUGCAAGUAGAACGCUGAAGAGAGGAGCUUGCUCUUCUUGGAUGAGUUGCGAACGGGUGAGUAACGCGUAGGUAACCUGCCUUGUAGCGGGGGAUAACUAUUGGAAACGAUAGCUAAUACCGCAUAACAAUGGAUGACACAUGUCAUUUAUUUGAAAGGGGCAAUUGCUCCACUACAAGAUGGACCUGCGUUGUAUUAGCUGGUAGGUGAGGUAACGGCUCACCUAGGCGACGAUACAUAGCCGACCUGAGAGGGUGAUCGGCCACACUGGGACUGAGACACGGCCCAGACUCCUACGGGAGGCAGCAGUAGGGAAUCUUCGGCAAUGGGGGCAACCCUGACCGAGCAACGCCGCGUGAGUGAAGAAGGUUUUCGGAUCGUAAGGCUCUGUUGUAAGUCAAGAACGAGUGUGAGAGUGGAAAGUUCACACUGUGACGGUAGCUUACCAGAAAGGGACGGCUAACUACGUG